CGUAGGGUGCAAGCGUUAAUCGGAAUUACUGGGCGUAAAGCGUACGCAGGCGGCUUUGCAAGACAGGUGUGAAAUCCCCGGGCCUAACCUGGGAACUGCAUUUGUGACUGCAUGGCUAGAGUUUGUCAGAGGGGGUGGAAUUCCACGUGUAGCAGUGAAAUGCGUAGAUAUGUGGAGGAACACCGAUGGCGAAGGCAGCCCCCUGGGAUGUGACUGACGCUCAUGUACGAAAGCGUGGGGAGCAAACAGGAUUAGAUACCCUGGUAGUCCACGCCCUAAACGAUGUCGACUAGUUGUCGGAGGGUAACUCCUUCGGUAACGCAGCUAACGCGUGAAGUCGACCGCCUGGGGAGUACGGUCGCAAGAUUA
This 369-nucleotide ribosomal RNA is filed under the name uncultured organism. Its description in RNAcentral is "bacterial SSU rRNA". It matches the Rfam family "Bacterial small subunit ribosomal RNA", at positions 526 to 896 of the family's 1533-position model. The record is from RNAcentral.